This 262-nucleotide unclassified non-coding RNA is filed under the name Hevea brasiliensis (rubber tree). Lineage: Eukaryota; Viridiplantae; Streptophyta; Magnoliopsida; Malpighiales; Euphorbiaceae. The record is from RNAcentral.
GGGGGUCACAAGCUUCCAAUUUUUGGCUAAUGACUAAAGAUGAUCGCAACGAUCAACAAUGGUUAGUGAACUAAUGAAGGUUGGUUUCCCUUAUAAAUUUAGGGAUAUUAAAAACGACCUCAUAUUUUGAAGUACUUUUCCUGAAAAUGAUCUAUUUUGACUAAGAAAAAUCAGUUCCCAUAUAUGCUAAAAAUGAGAGAGAGAGUUUUCCAAAAAAUCACCGUCAAACAAACACGGGCCUAAAUGAGACAGGAAAUAUUUU